GUGAAUAUAGUUUAACAUAAAACAUUAGAUUGUGAUUCUGAUAAUAGAGGUUAAAUUCCUCUUAUCCACC
RNAcentral lists this transfer RNA (70 nucleotides) under Pseudexostoma yunnanense. RNAcentral's name for it is "tRNA-His". It matches the Rfam family "tRNA". Rfam says of the family: Transfer RNA (tRNA) molecules are approximately 80 nucleotides in length. Their secondary structure includes four short double-helical elements and three loops (D, anti-codon, and T loops). Lineage: Eukaryota; Metazoa; Chordata; Actinopteri; Siluriformes; Sisoridae. The record is from RNAcentral.